Molecule: ribosomal RNA, 253 nt
Filed under: uncultured prokaryote
Description: partial 16S ribosomal RNA
Rfam family: Bacterial small subunit ribosomal RNA
Source: RNAcentral
UACGAAGGGGGCUAGCGUUGCUCGGAAUCACUGGGCGUAAAGCGCACGUAGGCGGCUUGUUAAGUCAGGGGUGAAAUCCUGGAGCUCAACUCCAGAACUGCCUUUGAUACUGAAGAUCUUGAGUUCGGGAGAGGUGAGUGGAACUGCGAGUGUAGAGGUGAAAUUCGUAGAUAUUGGGAAGAACACCGGUGGCGAAGGCGGCUAUCUGGACCGACAUUGACGCCGAGGCGCGAAAGCGUGGGGAGCAAACAGG